UAAGUGAACCUAAAAUUUUCGUUGGAAAAAACAUUAAAAUUUUGCGACUUUCUAAACGGCAUUGUGGUCAAUCAAAUAGAUGACAUGUCAUAAAUGUUAACCAUGCUUAAAAUGCCAUUUAGGGGUUAAUGGAUACGACGAAGUCAUUUCCAAGGCGUAAUGACAAUAUUUUUCUAUAAACUCAUUAACGUCCCAAAUCAUCGGAAAAGUCACAUCCUAAUUUGUCUUCUCGGAACCACUGUUCGUUCGUCUGCAAAAAAAAAAAAAAAACAAGCAAGCAGAGAAAUUACUCAUUUCAAAAUGGUCGUAAAUUGAAAAUUGACUUCUUGUCGUCAACGUGCACACAUCAUUAUCAUCACCAGGAGUAGCUGAACCCCGCUACACAGCUACAAUUACGGCAUUACAACAGGGCUGUACCCGGCGUUCAACCGCAUCGAGUAAUGCAACUGAAAAAGGACACAAAUGGCUGCUGCAACAACAAUAAUGAGCUAAAAUUGUACAAUGCUUAGGGAAAAAAGGACACGCUACUGCACACGUUGGCUGUACCAAAGUGACAAGGGAAUGCCAUUCAACACUGAAUUUGCCACCAUCAGGCUCUACACCAAUCCUGCAACACCCAAAGCUAAUGUUCUUGUUUUCCUUUGCCUUCUAAGUCACUAAGCAAAAGAAUAAACACGCCAGGACGAGGAAAA
Molecule: long non-coding RNA, 692 nt
Organism: Musca domestica (house fly)
Lineage: Eukaryota; Metazoa; Arthropoda; Insecta; Diptera; Muscidae
Exons: 2
Source: RefSeq, a predicted model, not a curated record